Lycium barbarum (goji berry) is the source of this 787-nucleotide long non-coding RNA. RefSeq lists it as uncharacterized. The record is from RefSeq and is a predicted model, not a curated record. NCBI's taxonomy places the organism in Eukaryota, Viridiplantae, Streptophyta, Magnoliopsida, Solanales, Solanaceae. The transcript is spliced from 3 exons.
CGCUAUUUAUCACACAAACUCUCCACUCCUUCAAGUUAUUUAUCACACCAGUUAUUAAAGAAGCAUUAAAGUGUCAUCAACUUUUGAUGAGCAAAUCCCAAAAGUCUGAAUUAGAAAAAACAAUACGAUUCCUUACUUCUGAAGCGUUUAGUCUACAGAACAGAAGGUAUAUGCACUCAAAGAGAGUGUUACGGCUAAAAAACGAGUGCUAAACCAUGUCAUUUUCAAAAGAUAAUCGUGGUUAUGAAUAUACGUAUGGAGUUCCAGCAAUAAUAACAUUGGCGGGCUUGAUUACAAUAAUAUUUCUACUGUUUCAACUUUAUAAAAUGGUGCCGAAAUGGGCCGCCAAAAGACUUGUCCAAAAAAUAGUUGGUUUAUUUCCCCGUGUGCCCUAUGCCGAGGUAGAGCGUAUAGGCUUCAGCAGCACUUCCUGUCAGAUAUGUUUGUCUGACUUCGAACCAACGGAGCGAGUCCGGAUGCUUCCGUGCACUCACUUGUACCAUUGUGGGUGUAUUUCAACUUGGAUGAGUCGUCAGAUCAAAUGCCCGACUUGUCGUCGCGACUACAACAAUAUCGUGACUCAAUAGUAUUUUAGGAUUGCAAAUGAUUUUUUUGUUGGUAAUGUAAUAAUUAAUACGGCGAUACUGUACUAUGUAUAAUUUGUAAUAUUGUUACAGAGUUAAAAUAUAUAUAAAAAAAAAACUAUGUACUAGAAUAUAAUUGUGUGUAUUUUUACUUUUUUAGAAGAGUGACAUUAUUGUUAUUAUUAUUAAAAUUAAAAUCAAAA